RNAcentral lists this unclassified non-coding RNA (282 nucleotides) under Hevea brasiliensis (rubber tree). The record is from RNAcentral. Lineage: Eukaryota; Viridiplantae; Streptophyta; Magnoliopsida; Malpighiales; Euphorbiaceae.
UCGAUGUUGAAUCCGCUAUGGAAGAGGGUUUUGAAGACGUGCAAACAGACUUGGUUGAAGAGGACUUCGCACUUUUGUAAGUUCUUGAUUGUACCAUAAAGUUUAUUAACAUGUAAAUCUAGUUGAUCAAAGUUUAUUAAACCAUUCGUAGAAUUGAGGGUUUUCUUUUUCUUUGUUAUGUACAUAUGCCGCUUUUGUGUCCAUGUAUGUAAAUGCCUAUAAAUUAUGCAAUUAAAGAAAGAUUUCACUUUGCAAAAUUUAUAGGCAUUUACAUACAUGGAC